This 467-nucleotide ribosomal RNA is filed under the name uncultured bacterium. RNAcentral's name for it is "partial 16S ribosomal RNA". It matches the Rfam family "Bacterial small subunit ribosomal RNA", at positions 28 to 507 of the family's 1533-position model. The record is from RNAcentral.
GACGAACGCUGGCGGCGUGCUUAACACAUGCAAGUCGAACGGAAAGGCCCUGCUUUUUUGGGGUGCUCGAGUGGCGAACGGGUGAGUAACACGUGAGUAACCUGCCCUUGACUUUGGGAUAACUUCAGGAAACUGGGGCUAAUACCGGAUAGGAGCUCCUGCUGCAUGGUGGGGGUUGGAAAGUUUCGGCGGUUGGGGAUGGACUCGCGGCUUAUCAGGUUGUUGUUGGGGAAGUGUCGUACCAAGGCUUGGACGGGUAGCCGGCCUGGGAGGGUGACCGGCCCCAUGGGACUUAGGGAGGGGCCAGUGUGCAACGGGGGGCAAGGGGGGGAAAUCUUAGCCAGCCGGGCGGAGUCUGGGACGACGACCGCCGGGUUGGAAAGGCCGGCUUUCGGGUACGAAACGCCUUCGGCUAGUACCGAGCGGUAAUGACGGUAACGGAAGAAUAAGCACCGGCUAACUACGUG